Molecule: ribosomal RNA, 492 nt
Filed under: uncultured bacterium
Lineage: Bacteria
Description: partial 16S ribosomal RNA
Rfam family: Bacterial small subunit ribosomal RNA
Source: RNAcentral
GAUGAACGCUAGCUACAGGCUUAACACAUGCAAGUCGAGGGGAAACGACAUCGAAAGCUUGCUUUUGAUGGGCGUCGACCGGCGCACGGGUGAGUAACGCGUAUCCAACCUGCCCACCACUUGGGGAUAACCUUGCGAAAGUAAGACUAAUACCCAAUGACGUCUCUAGAAGACAUCUGAAAGAGAUUAAAGAUUUAUCGGUGAUGGAUGGGGAUGCGUCUGAUUAGCUUGUUGGCGGGGUAACGGCCCACCAAGGCGACGAUCAGUAGGGGUUCUGAGAGGAAGGUCCCCGACAUUGGAACUGAGACACGGUCCAAACUGCUACGGGAGGCAGCAGUGAGGAAUAUUGGUCAAUGGACGAGAGUCUGAACCAGCCAAGUAGCGUGCAGGAUGACGGCCCUAGGGGUUGUAGACUGCUUUUAUAAGGGAAUAAAGUGAGUCUCGGGAGACUUUUUGCAUGUACCUUAUGAAUAAGGACCGGCUAAUUCCGUG